RNAcentral lists this ribosomal RNA (497 nucleotides) under uncultured bacterium. Its description in RNAcentral is "partial 16S ribosomal RNA". It matches the Rfam family "Bacterial small subunit ribosomal RNA", at positions 28 to 507 of the family's 1533-position model. The record is from RNAcentral.
GAUGAACGCUGGCGGCGUGCCUAAUACAUGCAAGUCGAGCGAACGGGCCAUAAGCGGGCUUCUCUGAUGUUAACGGCGGGCGGGUCAGUAACACGUCGAUAACCUCCCUAUAAGACUAGGAUAACUUCGGGAAACCGGAACUAAUACCGACUUCUAUUUUGAACUGGAUGGUUCAAAAGUGAAAGACGGUCUUGCUGUCGGUUAUCGAUGUAUCCGCGCGGCGUUAGCUAGUUGGUAAGGUAACGGCUUACCAAGGCAACGAUGCGUAACCGAACUGAGAGGGUGAUCGGCGACACUGGAACUGAGACACGGUCCAGACUCCUACGGGAGGCAGCAGUAGGGAAUGUUCCGCAGUGGGCGAAAGCAUGACGGAGCAACGCAGCGUGUGUGAUGAAGGCCUUCGGAGAGUAAAACUCUGUUAUUAGGGAAGAACAUAUGUGUACGUAACUGUGGCCAGCUUGACGGUACCUAAUCAGAAAGCAACGGCUAACUACGUG